This is a long non-coding RNA of Ruditapes philippinarum (Manila clam), 299 nucleotides long. RefSeq lists it as uncharacterized. The transcript has 3 exons. The record is from RefSeq and is a predicted model, not a curated record. NCBI's taxonomy places the organism in Eukaryota, Metazoa, Mollusca, Bivalvia, Venerida, Veneridae.
UUCUGCGCGUGCGGUAAUUUUGUUUAAUUUCCACAAGGAUACUUGUAAUGAAUGAUCUGAGUUUGUUAAAAUGCAAGAGGAGGUACCAAUAGGACGUUGCUAUACUCAGCCACAUCUUUAUAGACUUUGUAACAAAGUCGCAUGUAUAUCAUGGAAACUAAAAUGUCCCUGUAAAGCAGUUUCGGGUUUCCGAUGCAUGAUAGGAAAUUGUAUCUCGAUUAGGUUUAAAUGUGAUGGCGUCAAGCAUUGCUUGUAUGGAGAAGAUGAACAAUUUUGUCAACAUGAGCAAAAAGCAGAAC